AAGAACAACAACGAAAAGGAGGGUGUGAAUCUUGGGCAACAGCUUUCUUUGUUCUUUGUUCUUUUCCUUUUUUUGUAUU
Molecule: non-coding RNA, 79 nt
Filed under: Heterosigma akashiwo
Lineage: Eukaryota; Raphidophyceae; Chattonellales; Chattonellaceae
Source: RNAcentral